CCUACGGGUGGCAGCAGUGGGGGAUAUUGCACAAUGGGGGAAACCCUGAUGCAGCGACGCCGCGUGUGGGAAGACGGUCUUCUGGAUUGUAAACCACUGUCCCCAGGGACGAAAAUGACGGUACCUGGGGAGGAAGCUCCGGCUAACUACGUGCCAGCAGCCGCGGUAAUACGUAGGGAGCAAGCGUUGUCCGGAAUUACUGGGUGUAAAGGGAGCGUAGGCGGGGAUGCAAGUUGGGUGUCAAAACUACCGGCUCAACCGAUAGUCGCACUCAAAACUGCAACUCUUGAGUGAAGUAGAGGCAGGCGGAAGUCCUAGUGUAGCGGUGAAAUGCGUAGAUAUUAGGAGGAACACCAGUGGCGAAGGCGGCCUGCUGGGCUUUUACUGACGCUGAGGCUCGAAAGUGUGGGGAGCAAACAGGAGUUGAUACCCUGGUAGUC
Molecule: ribosomal RNA, 440 nt
Filed under: uncultured bacterium
Lineage: Bacteria
Description: partial 16S ribosomal RNA
Rfam family: Bacterial small subunit ribosomal RNA
Source: RNAcentral